CUACCUACGCUAAGCAAAAUAGUUCCAAAACUUCGCAGUAACUCCAAAAAUCAUAGUUCCCUGUCUAUUUUAAAAUUAACUGGCCAAUUAUGUACUAAAUUUUGCAAUCGUUUUUUAAAAUUGUAUGUAUAUUUUUGCUUUACGCGAUUUUAAUAUUACUACACCAGCGGUCGAUGGUAGCCAAAGUACUUGCAUAAAUAUAGUACAAAUUACAUGUAGUCACAAGUUAAUUAAGUGUCUUAGAACUCAAAAAUUUAGAAAUUAAUGGAAUACGGAUUUCAGAUCAGCUAACUUUAAAGCUUAAAAUGCUUCAUAAGUGUAAAUUUAAGAAAAACAUUGCAUGCGUAUGAAUACGAACUAUUUUCGCCCUAGCGUCAUUUUCCCGGAAUCGCCAUUGUUUACAUGUUCAUCCGUGAAAGAUUGAGAAGUUUUGCUGUUAAUCAAGAAGUUCCACGUGUUAAAACGAGUUGUGUGUGAUGUAACAUUUUAAUUGUGGCACAGUUGGUUGUUUGCUGAGAAGCUGUGAAACAUAAUUAUACAGGCCAUUUUUCACUUCAGGUGUGUGAUGUAACAUUUUAAUUGUGGCACAGUUGGUUGUUUGCUGAGAAGCUGUGAAACAUAAUUAUACAGGCCAUUUUUCACUUCAGGUAUGUGAUUACAGACUUGACAGUGAGAUUUUGAUUGUGACAAGGUCAUUUGUUUGCCAAGAAUUCUUGAAAUCUGUGAACUGCAUAGAUGUGUAGACCUGUGUGAAAGCUUAUGGUUAAGACAGUCGGUGUCAUUGAAAUCAGUUUACUGCUACUUUGUACAGUGGUACCAAAAAGAUGGUAAAUUGGUAGUAUUCAGUUCCGGGCAAACAUUUUCUUCAAGAGGUUCUUGUCAGAUUGAUGAGUGUGAAAUUAAGUGGACCCAUUUUGAGAAUGCUUCUAUGAAUUGUAUCAAAGAGGUAAAGUCUAACAUGUGAUACUGUCAAUGUGACUAACCUUGAAGUAAACAGAUGACACAAUGUUUUUUCAAUGUCAUGGGCAUAUAAUGAAGAGAAAACAGAGAUGCUUGUUCGACAGAUACAGUCAUAGUAGCAGUAAUGAGGGAAGAUAGAUUGCAGUGUUAACUAUAUUGAGACAAGAACAUGAGAUGACUUAUCAAUGUUUUCAAUGUGAUUGAACACCCAUUUUAAAUAAUACAGCUCGGAGUGA
Molecule: long non-coding RNA, 1196 nt
Organism: Ruditapes philippinarum (Manila clam)
Lineage: Eukaryota; Metazoa; Mollusca; Bivalvia; Venerida; Veneridae
Exons: 8
Source: RefSeq, a predicted model, not a curated record